GAUGAAAUGGCUGAGCCUAAGCAAUAAACUGUAAAUUUAUUUACGAAUUUAAAUUCUUUCAUCAAAAU
Molecule: transfer RNA, 68 nt
Filed under: Macrohaltica subplicata
Lineage: Eukaryota; Metazoa; Arthropoda; Insecta; Coleoptera; Chrysomelidae
Description: tRNA-Tyr
Rfam family: tRNA
About the family: Transfer RNA (tRNA) molecules are approximately 80 nucleotides in length. Their secondary structure includes four short double-helical elements and three loops (D, anti-codon, and T loops).
Source: RNAcentral